Molecule: long non-coding RNA, 869 nt
Organism: Apis cerana (Asiatic honeybee)
Lineage: Eukaryota; Metazoa; Arthropoda; Insecta; Hymenoptera; Apidae
Source: RefSeq, a predicted model, not a curated record
CGAGAACGUAAAAACAGGCCUGGCAAUUAUAGUUUCGUCCAAUUUUGGCUUGAGUGUGCAGCGGUUGAAGACGGUUAAACAGCGUUAAAUAAGCGUUAUUAUUCCGUGGCCCUGGCGCAAUUCGUUCUCCUCGCGCAGGAAACGGUCGUUCGUUCGGCGUGCUUCCGCAAUUUUAACCCUUUGCCCGAGCCCGUGUUAAUGGAGUAACUACGACUGCAAGUUUCAGCGGUGCCACUUCGUGUACAGAAGAAGUCGUGAGUGAGACUAAUGAGAAUAAAGUAGGAACGUAGUAGCAGCGACAGCAGCGACAGAGGAAGAAGAAGAAGAAGAAGAGGAAGAAAAAGAAGAAGAAGAAGAAGAAGAAGAGGAAGAAGAAGAAAAAGUGGAAGAACAAAGUUGUUGAGAAGAGAGGAAAAAGAAAGAAGAAGAAGAAGAAAACUUGAAGGAAGAGUAAGAAGUAAAUGGCAAGAGUGAGCAUGAUGCAAGACUGCCUGGACAGAUGAAUUACAACGCAGGAUACAACGCACGGUGUCGUUUCGAGACAUUGGACAGUUUUGCUACGUGAUGGAUCCCUCGUUACCGAACAGCGGCAUGUCGUAAGCCUUGCUAAGACCUUGUACAAUUUCCCGGAUGCGAAAGGUCAACUAAGUCUCUGCGGGGGGUUUGUUUGUGUCCCGAACAGGAAGCAAACAGCGAUCUACAACUUCCAAUUACAGAGAGGGAAGUGACGCAGCGCGUGAAUUAGCGCGCUUUUUUCCAUAAACGCUUCCAGAGUUUCACUUAUAAAUAUUAUUUAUUAAUUGUGAUAAAAAUUUGAUAAAAUGUUGAAAUAUUUUAGACAGAAUAAAUCUAAUUUAAAAUGGAAUUUA